RNAcentral lists this ribosomal RNA (433 nucleotides) under uncultured bacterium. RNAcentral describes it as "partial 16S ribosomal RNA". It matches the Rfam family "Bacterial small subunit ribosomal RNA", at positions 29 to 507 of the family's 1533-position model. The record is from RNAcentral.
AACGAACGCUGGCGGCAUGCCUAACACAUGCAAGUCGAACGAGACCUUCGGGUCUAGUGGCGCACGGGUGCGUAACGCGUGGGAACCUGCCCUUAGGUUCGGAAUAACUCCCCGAAAGGGGUGCUAAUACCGGAUAAUGUCUUCGGGCCAAAGAUUUAUCGCCUUUGGAUGGGCCCGCGUUGGAUUAGCUAGUUGGUAGGGUAAAAGCCUACCAAGGCGACGAUCCAUAGCUGGUCUGAGAGGAUGAUCAGCCACACUGGGACUGAGACACGGCCCAGACUCCUACGGGAGGCAGCAGUGGGGAAUAUUGGACAAUGGGCGAAAGCCUGAUCCAGCAAUGCCGCGUGUGUGAUGAAGGCCUUAGGGUUGUAAAGCUCUUUUACCCGGGAUGAUAAUGACAGUACCGGGAGAAUAAGCUCCGGCUAACUCCGUG